UCUUCGGAGGCAGGAAUAGUGUGGGUAAUCAGACUGCCGAGAAAAUCUGCUAGCUUCAGGUAUAGCGAACCGUACCGCAAACCGACACAGGUAGACGAGAUGAAUAUUCUAAGGCGCUCGAGUGAGUCGCGGCUAAGGAACUCGGCAAAUUAACCCUGUAACUUCGGGAAAAGGGGAGCUGUAGUAAUACAGCCGCAGAGAAAUGGUCCAGGCGACUGUUUAGCAAAAACACAGGGCUUUUGCCAAACCGCAAGGUGAAGUAUAAGGCCUGACACCUGCCCGGUGCUGGAAGGUUAAGAGGAGUCGUCAGCCGCAAGGCGAAGCGGUUAAUUGAAGCCCCAGUAAACGGCGGCCGUAACUAUAACGGUCCUAAGGUAGCGAAAUUCCUUGUCGGGUAAGUUCCGACCUGCACGAAUGGUGUAACGAUCUGGACACUGUCUCAGCCGCGAGCUCGGUGAAAUUGUAUUACCGGUGAGGAUGCCGGUUACCCGCUACGGGACGAAAAGACCCCCGUGCACCUUUACUAUAGCUUUACAUUGACUACGGG
Molecule: ribosomal RNA, 547 nt
Filed under: uncultured bacterium
Lineage: Bacteria
Description: bacterial LSU rRNA
Rfam family: Bacterial large subunit ribosomal RNA
Source: RNAcentral